GUCCACGCCGUAAACGAUGAAUACUAGGUGUAGGGGUUGUCAUGACCUCUGUGCCGCCGCUAACGCAUUAAGUAUUCCGCCUGGGGAGUACGGUCGCAAGAUUAAAACUCAAAGGAAUUGACGGGGGCCCGCACAAGCAGCGGAGCAUGUGGUUUAAUUCGAAGCAACGCGAAGAACCUUACCUAGACUUGACAUCUCCUGCAUUACUCUUAAUCGAGGAAGUCCUUUCGGGGACAGGAUGACAGGUGGUGCAUGGUU
RNAcentral lists this ribosomal RNA (258 nucleotides) under uncultured bacterium. RNAcentral's name for it is "partial 16S ribosomal RNA". It matches the Rfam family "Bacterial small subunit ribosomal RNA", at positions 793 to 1050 of the family's 1533-position model. The record is from RNAcentral.